Glycine soja is the source of this 1573-nucleotide RNA transcript. It is a transcript of the gene named pectin acetylesterase 5-like, with no coding region annotated. Lineage: Eukaryota; Viridiplantae; Streptophyta; Magnoliopsida; Fabales; Fabaceae. The transcript has 8 exons. The record is from RefSeq and is a predicted model, not a curated record.
GCCAAAAACGUCGUAGUAGGAGUAGCGGUGGCAGUUCCGUAAAUAAGUGAGCAUUUUAUGUGCCAUGUGCAUGGCGCAUGACACAUUCAACGACGUUGGCCGUGGGUGCCCGUCUUUGUUGGUAGCGCACAGGUAAGUUAAGACGGUGCACUUGAAAACACUGUCGUUGAAAUUUUGAAUUUCGAAGACGUUGUUCUUAAGCCAUCGUCGUUAACGUUGAUGUAUAUGAUGUUGUAAUUGGCGCUAAUUCAUGAACACUCGCGCUCGAAAAUUUCUGUGUGUCUGAAAUUUCUGAAAUCUCCGUGUGUCUGAAAUUUCUGUGUACUGUGACCUCGCCGUGACCUGUGGCGUUUGCCCGCACCCUCGUGACCUCGUCCGGCGUCUCAUGUGGUGGCACCGCCGAAGCCAGUGGGUACCCCUUUUUGGAGUUGUCGUAACACGGCUGUGUUUUGAAGUGCUUCUUCCCUCAGAAUUUGAUUGCCGGUAUUAGAACCCCACUAUUCAUCAGGUCCAAACAAGCUUAAAUCAUGGAUUCAGGAAUCAAAUGUUGAAUGCUAUUAAAGGCUUCUCAAGAUCACCUCAAAAUGGAUUGUUCAUAAAUUCAUGUUUUGCUCACUGCCAAUCUGAGAGGCAGGAUACAUGGUUUGCUGACAAUUCUCCUGUCAUUGGGAACAAGGAUACACUGGUCACGUGAUGACAUUUGAGGUUGGUGCGGUGCUUGAGGAUGCAAAUUGGCAGGCUCCAGUGUAUUAUUUUGAUGAGAAUGACAAGGAAAAGAAUAUCCCCAUUUUGGGAUCUGCUGUUCGUGGUGGUUCUCUUGGGAGUUUGAUGAGAGAGAUACCCACUGGGGAAACUAUGUACAAAUGAAGCAGUCAAGCCAAACCAAAAUGAAGCAGCAACAAGUCCAAAUGAUAGCAUCAAUCUAUUUCACAGGCUUUUGUUUCCUGUGUAACUUAAUUAGGAAUGAGUUAUUUCGCCAGCAGUUAGGUGGAGAUUUUGAGGAGGAAAAUGGAGGGAUUGUCAAAGGGCAUAUUAUUACAGAGAAUGGAGGAAGAGUAUAAUUCACUGUUGUCCACUGCUAGUAGUUCUCUUGCUAGUUCUGGUUCAAAUUCCAAAAGACUUGAAUAUCAACAUUCAUCUUCGGUAUGAGUACCUCAUCAGAUUUGUAUCAGCAUACCUGGAAGCGCCACAAGCCAUCAACUUGGAACAAAGAAAGUUAUAGUGCAUUUAGUCAAAUUAUAGACUUGUUAAGGGCCUCAUCGUUUUGGAAAGAAAAAGAAUGGAUCAUCAAGGGCAUAGCCAGAACCCAUCUAUGGUAGUGGAGCUCAAUUAGCAUAUGGUUCUAACACCAGCUUUAGCAACAGCUCCAACAAUUUUGGUCAAACCAAUACCAAGAAAUUGAGAAGGUUACUGAUUUCAAGAACCACAGUCUUCCCCUGGCAACUAAUAUAUUAUGUUUAUUGUUAAUAAAUUUAACAAUUACCUGUUAAAUCUAAUUAUAUGUAUUGUUAAUUGUUAAUAUGAUUAAGUUACAAUAUUUUAACAACUGUUAAAUGGCUAUUUGUAUUCAUAA